RNAcentral lists this ribosomal RNA (720 nucleotides) under uncultured eukaryote. Its description in RNAcentral is "bacterial SSU rRNA". It matches the Rfam family "Eukaryotic small subunit ribosomal RNA", at positions 1 to 725 of the family's 1831-position model. The record is from RNAcentral.
UACCUGGUUGAUCCUGCCAGUAGUCAUAUGCUUGUCUCAAAGAUUAAGCCAUGCAUGUCCAAGUAUAAGCAAUUUGUACAGUGAAACUGCGAAUGGCUCAUUAAAUCAGUUAUCGUUUAUUUGAUAGUACCUUUUACCUGGAUAACCGUGGUAAUUCUAGAGCUAAUACAUGCUGAAAACCCCGACUUUGGAAGGGGUGUAUUUAUUAGAUUAAAAGCCAAUGCCCUUCGGGGCUAACAGGUGAUUCAUAAUAACUCAACGAAUCGCAUGGCCUUGCGCCGGCGAUGGUUCAUUCAAAUUUCUGCCCUAUCAACUUUCGAUGGUAGAGUAGUGGUCUACCAUGGUGUUAACGGGUAACGGGGGAUUAGGGUCCGAUCCCGGAGAGGGAGCCUGAGAAACGGCUACCACAUCCAAGGAAGGCAGCAGGCGCGCAAAUUACCCAAUAGCGACACGCUGAGGUAGUGACAAUAAAUACUGAUCGGGGGCUCAUAUGGGCCUCCGAAUCGGAAUGAGUACAAUUUAAAUCCCUUAACGAGGAACAAUUGGAGGGCAAGUCUGGUGCCAGCAGCCGCGGUAAUUCCAGCUCCAAUAGCGUAUAUUAAAGUUGUUGCAGUUAAAAAGCUCGUAGUUGAACCUUGGGUCUGGCUGACCGGUCCGCCUCACCGCGUGCACUGGUUCGGCCGGGCCUUUCCUUCUGGGGAGCCGCAUGCCCUUCACUGG